GAUAUUGUAAUAAAAGGCUCAGCUGGUUAGAGCGCUGGUUUGUGGUACCAGAGGUCGCGGGUUCAAGCCCCGUCAGUCGCCCCA
This 84-nucleotide transfer RNA is filed under the name Sphingomonadales bacterium 12-62-5. Its description in RNAcentral is "tRNA-His". The stretch from base 16 to 73 matches the Rfam family "tRNA", at positions 9 to 63 of the family's 71-position model. From Rfam's summary of the family: Transfer RNA (tRNA) molecules are approximately 80 nucleotides in length. The record is from RNAcentral. Lineage: Bacteria; Pseudomonadati; Pseudomonadota; Alphaproteobacteria; Sphingomonadales.